This 290-nucleotide long non-coding RNA is filed under the name Nicotiana benthamiana. Its description in RNAcentral is "long non-coding RNA (NBEN_LNC015442)". Lineage: Eukaryota; Viridiplantae; Streptophyta; Magnoliopsida; Solanales; Solanaceae. The record is from RNAcentral.
AACCAUCGGUCCAUACAGUUGUCCAUGUACCAGUAGAAGAUCCGGCAGCUACCGCGGCCCCUGCUUCUUCAGGUGGAACUCCAGGUUGAGGAGUUACUCGGAAUGCUGCCAAUAUAUCAGUAUCCUUGGUUUGGUACUCUGCUUCUUCAGGUGGAACUCCAGGUUGAGGAGUUACUCGGAAUGCUGCCAAUAUAUCAAUAUCCUUGGUUUGGUACUCGGGAGUAUAACAAGUCAAGUUGCACUCUUUAACACCAGCAUUGAAUCCAACACUUGCUUUAGUCUCUGUUUGU